Molecule: long non-coding RNA, 1580 nt
Organism: Physcomitrium patens
Lineage: Eukaryota; Viridiplantae; Streptophyta; Bryopsida; Funariales; Funariaceae
Source: RefSeq, a predicted model, not a curated record
UGCUUUUCUACACAGAGUCCCUCCCUUGUGGGGUUGCAACGCGUGUCUUGACACCUGGACCUGGACACUAAAGCUCCCCCCCGACUACUGAACCCCAAGCCCGCGCUCUCGUACCUUUUACUUUUCAACGUACCACCGCGUAGUAACUGAUAAUGUCACCAGUAAUGAUAAUUGGUUAGUUAUAUUAGUUACUAGGUGGAAUUAUAAUUGAAGAAUCCGAGGGUGCUUCAAGUUCCAUGUCACAAAAAAUAGCAUCUAAACCAAAUCAGGCAGUGCUGCUUGGAGCAUGAUGUGCCAGGUUAGCACUGCCAGCUCAGAUCCAAAGGGGACGGUGACCCACUCGUCACCUUUCAGCCCCUGCGCUUCAUCACCGAGUGUUUUUGCAGCCUGCAUUUUCCUCUUGACAUGGUUGUUGUGAAUCUUUGCUUUCAACAGCUUCGCAUCCUCCACUUACACUUUCAUUCUCUCCUUCAGGUUGUGCAGAAAAAAUAAACAAUUGAAAAUGACACCGAAUGACGUUGUUUUUAUAUAUUUACAUAUUUUUUUGUUUUGUAUUAUUAGGCUGUGCUUGCAUUGUUUUUCUCCUUUUGUUUUCUGUUGGAGUCGAGGAUACCUUGGCCUUGCGGUGACUUACGAAUGGCUUUGCCUUGUGCUGCUGGAUGUGCCUCAUAUUGCUGUUUCUGACGCUUUGAGCCGUAUCCGUUUCGCCAUCUCCAGUUCAGACCGCACCUCGAAAAACUUGUCAUGCAAGCUGAUGGUUUGCUCACUUGACUCACAUUGUGUGAGAAUUAGGCGUGGAGUUGCUCCCCCACUUGCUCUGUAUCUUUACGCCACUUCAGAUGAUCCGUGCGGGAGCUAUCUUCUAUCUUCGACAUGUGCUCCUUGAUCUUUUCUACACGUAUGAGAGUAUCUCUUCAUACGUCUUAAGACCUCUCCGAAGACCUUGUCCAUCACAUUGAGCCACAGACCGAUGAUUUAAGGAACAAUCGGCGCCUUGAUAUGAAUCUGUACAGCACUAAGGCCUUUUCAAGUUUUCAGUUGAGGAUGAAACAAACUAACUGCAAAAUCAAACUAUCUGCAGCUGGCUCAACUGAAGCACCUUUGGAGGAGAGAAACACUAUAUUUGCCUGGUGCAUUGUGGAGCACGGGCUGACCUUUUUGAAUCCUUUUCAUGUGAGAGUUUGUUUUUCUGUUAUUUAGUAGAACAGGUCGUUAUUCGGAGGUCACAGAUAGAUUGCCAAGCAGGGUUUCACUAGUUCGAGUAGUGCAUCUUUCUCGAGGGAAGUCUUGAAAGACCCGUUGCAAUUUUAGCUCUACUCUGAAAUUUUGUAGGUCAGCAGUCCACCUGUUUGUGGCGAAUCUCGUGCAGCUAAUCUGCUCCAAACCAAACAAUAUCAUUUGGGAGUACAGUCGGGGGUCAUUCAACGUCAAUUGAACACUCACGGCUUCCUACAAUGACUCCAUCUUGUAUCGUCACUUUCACAAAUAGCAUUCAUAUUCUUCAUUAGAAGAAACUCCAAUUCAUUCAUGAUUUGCAUGAAGCAAUACAGGCGACAGCCUUGAUGCUACAUCUGUUCCUG